This 839-nucleotide ribosomal RNA is filed under the name Cylindrospermopsis raciborskii S01. Its description in RNAcentral is "bacterial LSU rRNA". It matches the Rfam family "Bacterial large subunit ribosomal RNA", at positions 1 to 860 of the family's 2925-position model. The record is from RNAcentral. Lineage: Bacteria; Bacillati; Cyanobacteriota; Cyanophyceae; Nostocales; Aphanizomenonaceae.
GUGGUCAAGCUAAUAAGGGCUCAUGGUGGAUACCUAGGCACACAGAGGCGAAGAAGGACGUGGUUACCUGCGAAAAGUUCCGGGGAGUUGGAAGCAAACAGAGAGCCGGAAAUAUCCGAAUGGGGCAACCCUGAAAACUGCCUGUUGAAUAUAUAGACAGGAAAGAGCGAACCUGGCGAAUUGAAACAUCUUAGUAGCCAGAGGAAAAGAAAUCAAAAGAGAUUCCCCGAGUAGCGGUGAGCGAAAGGGGAAGAGCCUAAACCAAGGGGUAUACCUCUUGGGGUAGUGGGACAGCAACAUCGAAUCCAGAGACUAGACGAAGCAGCUAAAUACUGCACCAGAGGGGGUGAAAGUCCUGUAGUCGAAAGUCAAAGGAUAGAAGCUGAAUCCCGAGUAGUACGGGGCACGAGAAAUCCCGUAUGAAUCAGCGAGGACCAUCUCGUAAGGCUAAAUACUACUGUGUGACCGAUAGAGAACAAGUACCGCGAGGGAAAGGUGAAAAGAACCCCGGGAGGGGAGUGAAAAAGAACAUGAAACCGUGAGCUUACAAGCAGUGGGAGUCCGAUUAAACGGAUGACCGCGUGCCUGUUGAAGAAUGAGCCGGCGACUUAUAGGUACUGGUAGGUUAAAGCGGGAAUGCUGGAGCCAAAGGGAAACCGAGUCUGAAAAGGGCGCUAAUCAGUAUUUAUAGACCCGAACCCUGGUGAUCUAACCAUGGCCAGGAUGAAGCUUGGGUAAAACCAAGUGGAGGUCCGAACCGACCGAUGUUGAAAAAUCGGCGGAUGAGCGGUGGUUAGGGGUGAAAUGCCAAUCGAACCAGGAGCUAGCUGGUUCUCCCC